This 253-nucleotide ribosomal RNA is filed under the name uncultured bacterium. RNAcentral describes it as "partial 16S ribosomal RNA". It matches the Rfam family "Bacterial small subunit ribosomal RNA", at positions 524 to 776 of the family's 1533-position model. The record is from RNAcentral.
UACGAAGGGGGCUAGCGUUGUUCGGAAUUACUGGGCGUAAAGGGCGCGUAGGCGGCUUGUCUAGUCGGGCGUGAAAAGCCUGGGCUUAACCCGGGAACUGCGCUCGAUACUGAUAGGCUUGAGUGUGGGAGAGGAUGGUGGAAUUCCCAGUGUAGAGGUGAAAUUCGUAGAUAUUUGGAAGAACACCGGUGGCGAAGGCGGCCAUCUGGACCACAACUGACGCUGAGGCGCGAAAGCGUGGGGAGCAAACAGG